Molecule: ribosomal RNA, 2256 nt
Filed under: Triticum aestivum (bread wheat)
Lineage: Eukaryota; Viridiplantae; Streptophyta; Magnoliopsida; Poales; Poaceae
Description: partial small subunit ribosomal RNA
Source: RNAcentral
AUGGCCAACCCCGACGACGGCGGCGGGCGCAAGUUCUGGCGCUCCGCGUCGUGGUCGGCGUCGCGGGCCGCCGAGGCGGCGGGGCCGGAGGCGGCGCCGCUCCCGCCCCGGAUGGGCCCGCCGCCGCUCACCCCGCGGUCGAAAGGCCGGGCCUGCCUCCCGCCGCUGCAGCCGCUCGCCAUCACUCGCCGCAGCCUGGACGAGUGGCCCAAGGCGGGCUCCGACGACGUGGGCGAGUGGCCCAACCCCACCACCCCGGGCGCGUCCAAGGCGGGCGGCGGCGGCCCGGGCUCAGCCAAGCCCGGGGAGGGCCUCCGGCUCGACCUCUCCACCCUCCGCUCGCAGGGCCGCAAGGACCAGAUCGCCUUCUUCGACAAGGAGUGCUCCAAGGUGGCCGAGCACGUGUACCUCGGCGGCGACGCCGUCGCCAAGAACCGCGACAUCCUGCGCAAGAACGGCAUCACCCACGUCCUCAACUGCGUCGGCUUCGUCUGCCCCGAGUACUUCAAGUCGGACCUCGUCUACCGCACGCUCUGGCUGCAGGACAGCCCAACCGAGGACAUCACCAGCAUCCUGUACGACGUGUUUGAUUACUUCGAGGACGUGAGGGAGCAGGCCGGGCGCGUGUUCGUGCAUUGCUGCCAGGGGGUGUCGCGCUCGACAUCGCUGGUGAUAGCGUAUUUGAUGUGGAGGGAAGGGCAGAGCUUCGACGACGCCUUCCAGUUUGUGAAGGCCGCUAGGGGGAUCGCGAAUCCGAACAUGGGGUUUGCCUGCCAGCUGCUCCAGUGCCAGAAGCGGGUGCAUGCCAUUCCUCUGUCCCCAAACUCAGUGCUCAGGAUGUAUCGGUUGGCGCCUCACUCCCCCUAUGCUCCACUGCAUCUAGUGCCCAAAAUGCUGAAUGAGCCCUCGCCUGCCGCCCUCGACUCCAGGGGUGCAUUCAUAGUUCAUGUGCUCUCGUCGAUUUAUGUUUGGGUUGGAAUUAAAUGUGAUACAGUGAUGGAGAAGGAUGCGAGAGCGGCAGCUUUUCAGGUGGUGAGGUAUGAGAAGGUGCAGGGGCAGAUCAAAGUUGUCAGAGAAGGGUUGGAGCAACCUGAAUUUUGGGACGCCUUUUCCAGUGCACCUGUUAAUUCAGACAGCAAAAUGAAGCUUGGCAAGGAGCAGAUCGAUUCGCCAUCCAGGACUGGCGUGGGAAGCCGGAGAGUCGAAUCUUAUGAUUCUGAUUUUGAGCUCGUCCAGAAAGCGAUAGCUGGGGGUGUUGUUCCAGCGUUCUCGUCUUCUGGUACUGGAGAUGAGACCCAUCUUCCAGCGAGGGAGAGUAGCUGGAGUUUACUAAGGCGCAAGUUUAUCUCGAGAUCACUAUCUCGAGUUUAUUCAGAUUCUGCUCUGAUAAGGGAUUUGGAUCCACGGGUACAGCACUUGACUGCAGAGGCAUCAAUAUCACCGCCUUUCCUUUCUCCGAGCUCUCUAUCAUCAGAUUCAACCAUUAGCUCAAAGUACAGUUCAGACUCACCCUCCCUGUCACCUUCAACUAGCUCCCCACCGUCACUUGGUCUUUCACCUGCUUCAUCUAAUUUGCCACACGCUUUGGUGCCAUCAUCUAGGUCUCCUCUUCGCCAGUCAUCUAAUGCGGAACAUUCAAAGCCUGUCCUGGGAUCAAUACGCUCUCCAUCCAAGGUCUCAUCUAUAGCAGAAAGAAGAGGUGGAUUUUCAGGUCUGAAGCUACCAUCACUCCCAAAGGAGCUAGUAUUGCCACCAAGGGCGCCAUCUAUUCACAAAGCAGAGGAAGUCACGGAUAAGACUAAUACCAAUGGUGUGAAACAGCUUACUGGUGUUUCUUGCCCAGAGAAAUGCACCGGAACUAGUUCAACAGCAACUGACAGCAACUCAGAGGCUACUGUCCACGGUGAGACCAUAUUAAUUGAGCAUACUAACUCAGAGGCCUGUAAUUAUGUUCAACUACUAGUCUACCGAUGGCCCUGCAUGGAGAAGCUGACUGCAUUCGCUCGCAAGGAUCUUGACCCAAAAACAGUUUUUAUUUUUGUUGCUCCUAAAGCCAGCAGAAGUGCAGAAGAAGUUAAAACGGUAUGCGUGUGGGUAGGAGGUGAAUAUGAGUGUAGCAAAGGUGUUGACAGUAUUGAUUGGCAGCAAGUUGCUGGUGAUUUUCUUAAUCAGAAGGGGUUCAGCAAUACUCUUCCUGUUAAGGUUUUCAAGGAGCAUGAAACCGAGAAUCUUUUGGAGGUUCUGGAUGCUCGUUAA